AUACAGAGGUCCCAAGCGUUGUUCGGAUUUACUGGGCGUAAAGAGUGCGUAGGUGGUGAGGAAAGUCUGAUGUGAAAUCUCCGGGCUCAACCCGGAAACUGCAUUGGAAACUGCCUUGCUAGAGGAUCGGAGGGGAAAUUGGAAUUCCCGGAGUAGCGGUAAAAUGCGUGGAUCUCGGGAGGAACACCAAUGGCGAAGGCGACUACCUGGACUAACAUUGACGCUGAGGUGCGAAAGCGUGGGGAGCAAACAGGAUUAGAAACCCCGGUAGUCC
RNAcentral lists this ribosomal RNA (274 nucleotides) under uncultured bacterium. RNAcentral's name for it is "partial 16S ribosomal RNA". It matches the Rfam family "Bacterial small subunit ribosomal RNA", at positions 523 to 796 of the family's 1533-position model. The record is from RNAcentral.